UACAGGGGGUGCAAACGUUGCUCGGAAUUAUUGGGCGUAAAGCGCGCGUAGGCGGCCACUUAAGUCGGAUGUGAAAGCCCCUGGCUCAACUGGGGAAGUGCACCCGAAACUGAGCGGCUUGAAUGCAAAAGAGGGUCGCGGAAUUCCCGGUGUAGAGGUGAAAUUCGUAGAUAUCGGGAGGAACACCAGUGGCGAAGGCGGCGAUCUGGGUGGAUACUGACGCUGAGGUGCGAAAGCGUGGGGAGCAAACAGG
RNAcentral lists this ribosomal RNA (253 nucleotides) under uncultured bacterium. RNAcentral's name for it is "partial 16S ribosomal RNA". It matches the Rfam family "Bacterial small subunit ribosomal RNA", at positions 524 to 776 of the family's 1533-position model. The record is from RNAcentral.